RNAcentral lists this ribosomal RNA (506 nucleotides) under uncultured bacterium. RNAcentral's name for it is "partial 16S ribosomal RNA". It matches the Rfam family "Bacterial small subunit ribosomal RNA", at positions 29 to 523 of the family's 1533-position model. The record is from RNAcentral.
AGUGAACGCUGGCGGUAGGCCUAACACAUGCAAGUCGAACGGCAGCACAGGAGAGCUUGCUCUCUGGGUGGCGAGUGGCGGACGGGUGAGGAAUACAUCGGGAUCUACUCUGUCGUGGGGGAUAACGUAGGGAAACUUACGCUAAUACCGCAUACGACCUACGGGUGAAAGCAGGGGACCUUCGGGCCUUGCGCGAUUGAAUGAGCCGAUGUCGGAUUAGCUAGUUGGCGGGGUAAAGGCCCACCAAGGCGACGAUCCGUAGCUGGUCUGAGAGGAUGAUCAGCCACACUGGAACUGAGACACGGUCCAGACUCCUACGGGAGGCAGCAGUGGGGAAUAUUGGACAAUGGGCGCAAGCCUGAUCCAGCCAUACCGCGUGGGUGAAGAACGCCUUCGGGUUGUAAAGCCCUUUUGUUGGGAAAGAAAUCCAGCUGGCUAAUACCCGGUUGGGAUGACGUUACCCAAAGAAUAAGCACCGGCUAACUUCGUGCCAGCCGCCGCGGUAA